AACGUACGCUGGCGGCACGCCUAACACAUGCAAGUCGAACGCAGUAGCAAUACUGAGUGGCAGACGGGUGAGUAACAUGUGGGGAUCUGCCUUGUGGUUCAGGACAACAUUGGGAAACCGAUGCUAAUACUGGAUAAGCCCUUACGGGGAAAGUUUUAAUGCCAUAAGAUGAGCCCGCAUUUGAUUGGUUAGUUGGUGAGGUAAUGGCUCACCAAGACAAUGAUCAAUAGCUGAUCUGAGAGGAUGAUCAGCCACACUGGGACUGAGACACGGCCCAGACUCCUACGGGAGGCAGCAGUGGGGAAUCUUGCACAAUGGAGGAAACUCUGAUGCAGCGAUGCCGCGUGAGUGAAGAAGGCCUUUGGGUUGUAAAGCUCUUUUGUAGGGGAAGAUAAUGACUGUACCCUAAGGAUAAGGUCCGGCUAACUUCGUGCCAGCAGCCGCGGUAAUACGAAGGGACCUAGCGUAGUUCGGAAUUACUGGGCGUAAAGCGCGCGUAGGCCGUUGAGUUAGUUAAUUGUGAAAUCCCAAAGCUUAACUUUGGAACUGCAAUUAAAACUGCUCGACUAGAGUUUGAUAGAGGAAAGCGGAAUACAUAGUGUAGAGGUGAAAUUCGUA
Molecule: ribosomal RNA, 618 nt
Filed under: uncultured bacterium
Lineage: Bacteria
Description: bacterial SSU rRNA
Rfam family: Bacterial small subunit ribosomal RNA
Source: RNAcentral